This is a long non-coding RNA of Wasmannia auropunctata (little fire ant), 567 nucleotides long. RefSeq lists it as uncharacterized. The record is from RefSeq and is a predicted model, not a curated record. Lineage: Eukaryota; Metazoa; Arthropoda; Insecta; Hymenoptera; Formicidae. The transcript is spliced from 3 exons.
GUUGUAGUCGUAAUGGAUCUUCGCGCUGCCAUGGCGCUCAGCCUGAAGUAGAGACAAAAAAUUGGAGUUUCAACUAAAAUGUAAGAAACUAAAAACGAAAAUUUCUAACCGACGUGAGACGCGUUGAAUCCGCGGAGAAAUGAAUUGAAAAAGUACUUAAAAAUGGACCACUUGUCGGCAUCCCCACACAAUCAUCGUGAAGAUAAGUUUCAGCGUUAAUACCCGACUCUUAUUGGCGGUGGCAAAGUACAUGUUGCUACGUAGGAUAUUAUUCCAAGUAUAUCGUUCCAUGCCAGUAUCGGUCAAACAUCAGUAAACUUAAAACGUCGCGCGAUGCAACUCUUAUCUCAAGAAUAUAAGCAUAUCACGCGCAUACAUUCAUUAUGUAAUAAGUAGCGUGAUAAUAUUAAUAUUUAGCCUGUUGCAAUGAAAUUAUUUAGAAUUACAUUCCUGUACUCUUCUCUAUCGAAUAUUUUUAAUUUUAUUCAAAGACAAAUAACUUUUGCGCGACGGGAAAUCUUUAUUGUGAAAGGAAUGGAAUAAUGUAGAAUGAGAGAUAAAUGUGCU